Molecule: ribosomal RNA, 497 nt
Filed under: uncultured bacterium
Lineage: Bacteria
Description: partial 16S ribosomal RNA
Rfam family: Bacterial small subunit ribosomal RNA
Source: RNAcentral
GACGAACGCUGGCGGCGUGCCUAAUACAUGCAAGUUGAGCGCUGAAGGUUGGUACUUGUACCAACUGGAUGAGCAGCGAACGGGUGAGUAACGCGUGGGGAAUCUGCCUUUGAGCGGGGGACAACAUUUGGAAACGAAUGCUAAUACCGCAUAAAAACUUUAAACACAAGUUUUAAGUUUGAAAGAUGCAAUUGCAUCACUCAAAGAUGAUCCCGCGUUGUAUUAGCUAGUUGGUGAGGUAAAGGCUCACCAAGGCGAAGAUACAGAGCCGACCUGAGAGGGGGGUCGGCCACAUUGGGACUGAGACCCGGCCCAAACUCCUACGGGAGGCAGCAGUAGGGAAUCUUCGGCAAUGGACGAAAGUCUGACCGGGCAACGCCGCGUGGGUGAAGAAGGGUUUCGGAUCGUAAAACUCUGUUGGUAGAGGAGAACGUUGGUGGGAGUGGAAAGCUCAUCAAGUGACGGUAACUACCCAGAAAGGGACGGCUAACUACGUG